GACGAACGCUGGCGGCGUGCUUAACACAUGCAAGUCGAACGAAGUGGCGAACGGGUGAGUAACGCGUAAUCAACCUGCCCUUCAGAGGGGGACAACAGUUGGAACCGACUGCUAAUACCGCAUACUGAAGGAGGGGAUUGCGUCUGAUUAGCUAGUUGGAGGGGUAACGGCCCACCAAGGCGAUGAUCAGUAGCCGGUCGGAGAGGAUGAACUGCCACAUUGGGAAUGGGAAACGGCCCAGACUCCUUCGGGAUGCAGCAGUGGGGAAUCAUCCGCAAUGGACGAAAGUCCGACGGAGCAACGCCGCGUGAGUGGUGGCGGCCUUCGGGUUGGAAAGCUCUGUUAAUCGGGACGCGGUACCGGAAUAGAAAGCCACGGCUAACUACGUGCCAGCAGCCGCGGUAAUUC
This 408-nucleotide ribosomal RNA is filed under the name uncultured bacterium. RNAcentral describes it as "partial 16S ribosomal RNA". It matches the Rfam family "Bacterial small subunit ribosomal RNA", at positions 28 to 526 of the family's 1533-position model. The record is from RNAcentral.